CCCCACCCCUGCCAUACAUCUAUAGGUUAGUCAAGCUUCCUAUAUAUCCACCAACGUGAACAUCGUGUGCUCUUACCCCACACUCACAGGAGCACGCUGAAAUACCCUAGACCCAACUAAGUUGCAGGUCUCUUAGCUGCAUUGGCAGACGCCCCCCCCACCUUCCCAGAAGAGAACAUCUCGGCUGCAUUUGCACAAACAUGAUCAUCAGACUGGGCAGACUAACCCCUGGAUACUUCCGUCUCCUCCAGAGACAGGUGGCCGGAGAGGUACAGAUGCAGCCUCAGGACCGGACGGUCAAUCAGAUUGCCAUGAUGCUGGCCAUCCUGGGCCUCAGCCUGUCCUACUACAGUGCUCGCCAGAUGACUGAGAAGGUCCAGCGUGAGCCGACCCCCUGAACAUGCGCCGCCGGGAUCCGGCUGGAGUGGCCGGAGUGAUGAAAGCCAAUGAAUGAGAGGGGAGUAGAGGAAAGGAAGAGGAGGGGGAGAAGAGGUGGGGAUGAAGAGGCGACGGCGUCCAGCACUUUUUAAAAUCACUCUCUCACACUGCUGACAGUCACGUUAAGACACUGGAUUUUGUUUAGUUUUUGUUUCUUUUUUACAUCGGGAGAACGCACCGUGUGACAAGAGUUCAGAGUUCAGGACGGCUCUUCGCAGGCUUCUCGGUUUUAAUUUUUAGGACUUUUUGUUUUGUCUCAAGUCUGUCCUCAGGAGGAAGAGUGCGAUGAAGUAAUGGCCUUGGGGUCCUCUGGUCUUGUGAACUGGUUAGGAGAACGAGAGCGACCCAUCCAAAACGCCCAUGUGCUUGUGCGGCCUGAGUUUCACUGCUUGCUGCGAUGCCUGCAUGCGAGAAUCCUGCAGUGCUGCUCCUGGGUCUAGGGGGGGGGGGGAUGAUGCAUGUCCUGCCAGUGUGUCAUGCCCAGCUAGUGGGGGUAAUUCAUUCAUUUUUAAACGGAGCAGCAAUUGGCCAAGGUUCUCGACAUUUAAAUAUGUCAAGCAACAGUUGAAAGCAGGCCCAUGAGAAAGAUGGGGUCAAACUGUGAACCCUCUAAAUGCUUAUGUGUUAUGAUUCUGUGUUUUUUGUUUGUUUUUUGAGAAGCCUUAGAGUUGUCAGAACUUGCGUUGGAGAUGUCACCUUACUAGACCGUUUUAACAAAUGGGAAUCUUUCCACAUCACAGGCAUCACGACAGUCACAUUGUAGAGCAAGGCAUUUCUAGCAACUAAAGUGGAACUUUGAAAAGGGGCCGUUUCAUCACUACUGUUUUUUUCUGUUUUGCUGUUCGGUAUACUGCAUUACUAGGUAACUCGUUUAAAAUCUGUGGCUUCUUAGGGAAUCUAUAUCCUCGGCAAUAUAUUUUUGUCUACCUUCAAAUAUUGCAUGGAGAGCCUUUUUUAACUUCUAAAACCAUAAUGAUGACUAUGAAUGUAUGUUAUUUUCAAAAGUUUUGAUUCAAAAAUAAAGCUGUGAAUUUGUUUGGA
This is a long non-coding RNA of Alosa sapidissima (American shad), 1479 nucleotides long. RefSeq lists it as uncharacterized. NCBI's taxonomy places the organism in Eukaryota, Metazoa, Chordata, Actinopteri, Clupeiformes, Clupeidae. The transcript is spliced from 3 exons. The record is from RefSeq and is a predicted model, not a curated record.